Molecule: non-coding RNA, 388 nt
Organism: Caenorhabditis elegans
Lineage: Eukaryota; Metazoa; Nematoda; Chromadorea; Rhabditida; Rhabditidae
Source: Ensembl
CACUCUCUGUCACUAAUUUCAAAAUGAUUCACAUGCCAAUUCAUGCAUCCUCAAGCCUUGAGCUUCAUGCCUCCACCACAUCCAGAAGACUUCGACGUCUUCAGAAUCUAACGAUUGUGCGCAAAUUUGACUGAUUCCAUUGUGCAGUCAAAUUCUCAAGUUCUGAAUAUUUUGUACAUUCACUCUGUAAAAAUUUAUUCACUUGCCACAACUCGGAUUCUACCUCAAUUACUAUUAUGGGUUCAACACUUUAAUAGCCGAUCUCAAUCUUCAAUUGAACAUUUCAUGCUUUAUACAACACCAUAAAUGAUCUUUAAUUAAUUUAUUUGUAUUUUUAUUUCUUUAAUAUUUAUUUAUUUGAGUGCAAGUUAGCACUGGAAAUAAACAG